This is an RNA transcript of Cebus imitator (Panamanian white-faced capuchin), 1170 nucleotides long. It is a transcript of the gene named proliferating cell nuclear antigen-like, with no coding region annotated. The record is from RefSeq and is a predicted model, not a curated record. The transcript has a single exon. NCBI's taxonomy places the organism in Eukaryota, Metazoa, Chordata, Mammalia, Primates, Cebidae.
CCUGAAGCCAAAACCCGCUAGACUUUGCUUCUUCCCGCCUGCCUGUAGCGGCACUGGUGCCACUCCGCCACCAUGUUCGAGGCGCGCCUGGUCCAGGGCUCCAUCCUGAAGGUGUUGGAGGCACUCAAGGACCUCAUCAACGAGGCCUGCUGGGACAUCAGCUCGAGUGGCGUAAACCUACAGAGCAUGGACUCACCCCAUGUCUCCUAGGUGCAGCUCACGCUACAGUCUGAGGGCUUUGACACGUACCGCUGCGACCGCGACCUAGCCAUGGGCGUGAACCUCACCAGUAUGUCCAAAAUACUAAAAUGUGCUGGCAAUGAAGAUAUCAUUACACUAAGGACUGAAGAUAAUGCGGAUACCUUGGUGCUAGUAUUUGAAGCACCAAACAAGGAGGUUUCAGACUAUGAAAUGAAGUUGAUGGAUUUGGAUGUUGAACAACUUGGAACUCCAGAACAAGAGUACAGCUGUGUGGUAAAGAUGCCUUCUGGUGAAUUUGCUCGUAUAUGCUGAGAUCUCAGAUAUAUUGGAGAUGCUGUUGUAAUUUCCUGUGCAAAAGACGGAGUGAAAUUUUCUGCAAGUGUAGAACUUGGAAAUGGAAACAUUAAAUUGUCACAGACAAGUAAUGUCGAUAAAGAGGAGGAAGUUGUUACCAUAGAGAUGAAUGAACCAGUUCAAUUAACUUUUGCACUGAGGUACGUGAACUUCUUCACAAAAGCCACUCCACUCUCUUCAACAGUGACACUCAGUAUGUCUGCAGAGGUAUCCCUUGUUGUAGGGUAUAAAAUUGCUGAUACGGGACACUUAAAGUACUACUUGGCUCCCAAGAUCGAGGAUGAAGAAGGAUCUCAGGCAUUCUUAAAAUUCAAGAAAAUAAAACUAAGCUCUUUGAGAACUGCUUCUGAGAUGCCAACAUAUACUGAAGUCUUUUCUGUCACCAAAUUUGUGCCUCUAAGUACAUAUGUAGAUAAUUAUCUGUAAAUAAUCUCUUUUUUUCUCUAUUCUCUGCAGUUUGUUUAGAUCUCUGCAAAGUCAGAUCCAGUCUAAUUAACCUAGAAUUAUUUUUGUCUCUUAAAAAUACUUGUGAUUUUUAUAAUACAAAAGGGUCUUGACUCUAAAUGCAGUUUUAAGAAUUGGUUUUGAAUUUAAAUAAAGUUAAUUGAAUUUUAA